Long non-coding RNA from Sorex araneus (European shrew), 2623 nucleotides. RefSeq lists it as uncharacterized. Lineage: Eukaryota; Metazoa; Chordata; Mammalia; Eulipotyphla; Soricidae. The transcript is spliced from 9 exons. The record is from RefSeq and is a predicted model, not a curated record.
GGGAGUGCGGCGCCGGGGGAGGGGGCGGGAGCGGCGGCGCGGGCCCCCCGGAGGGGGCACCUGGCCGAGGCGCCGCCACCGCCGCGCCGCGCGAACCCCGGGCCCGGGCCCCUGCGCGGGCUCGAGAGCUCGCCCGGCCGGGGGGCUUCCUUCGCCGCCGUUGACAGGUUUUGACCUUUAGGAGAGAGCCAGUUCUGGAGAACAGCCUAACUUCUUUGAUUGAACACUCACAUAAUGCUUUGGAACAUUAUAGGAGAUUAAGACUUAAUAAUAGUAGAAUGAAGAUCAUAAUAAAGCAACCCUCUACUUAAACCAGCAAUUCUUACCUUUCUCCUACUUAAUGAAGAUAUCUUUUGUUACUGCAAGGAAUGAGAUGCUGUUUGUAAAUUAAACUUUUUAUCAAGUGAUACUCAGGGCUUGAAUCACUCCUGGUGGGGCUUGGAGGACACAUGCAGUAAUAGGAAUCAAAACCAGACCUAAAUUUUGAUACUACCAUCACAGCAACCCCAGUAUGAAAACUGUCCCUUGAUCACUUGGAAAAUCAGAGAGCAGACAUUGUAUGGAGCUAAGUGCCUGACCACAACUUAUGCGAGCAAAGGGCACUAAAUGCUACAUGAAAUAAUCCUCAGCACAAAACUGAAAUAACCUUGUUUUGUGGAAUUCCUUAUUUCCAUCCUAGUUACAUAUGACUUGUAUGUUCUGACUGCAGACUUCAGCUGUCUUUCCAUGACUUCUGAAGGGAUGGCAAAGCAAGAGCCACACGGGAGAGUAGGAACAAAGGAGUUUCAUGCAGAUGGGGUUUCCGGUGCAGAGGCCAGGCGGGGCAAACAUGCAGGGAAGGAAGAACAUCACGGCUUUUUCUUUCAGAGCAGAGAAUUACAUACUGCUGCAGGUUUUGUAGCUGCUAGUCUGACUCAUGCCUGACAUCCAGUCUCCUAUAUUAGUCCCUGCCUGAUACCAGGUUAUUAAGCAUCUUAUAUUCUUGGAAUAGUGAUUCCAAGAAGAGUAAAAAGGGAAGAAUGAGUGAGUGACUUUUCCAAAAUGUGCCAUCUUGGGGAAGUGUAGCGAACAGAGAAAGAAGAUGCCUGAGGUUGGGGCAUGUUAUCUGGAAAAGUACUCGCCAGAAACCUGAAGCAAAUGAAGGCUUCAGUAUCUACCUGUAGUGUUAGACUGUUUUAUGUACCCCAAGCUUCAACUGUUAGUUCUUUGAACAGAAGGGAAGGAAGUACUAGUGUCUUCAGAAUUUUUGGCAGUCCCUCUAGCUCUAGUGCUAAGCAGGCUCUAGUUCUCUCAUUCGUGCUGGCUGGGGAAGCCCGGCUCUGCAGGGGAGCAGAACUUGGUGAAAAGGAUUUGAGGCACACCAUGCCUCAUGGAUCCGGUGACCAGUAACACAAAAACUCCCUCCUCACUCACUUGCUUCUGAGGUGGCCAGUUCCUCUUUAUGCAUCUCCCUUAAACCUUAAAAACUUGAAGCCAUCGCUUAUUUAUUUAUGCCAUUCAUCUUCAUAGAUGCAGAGCGCAAAAUUAUGAACCUCGUCCUAAAAUGAGGUGAUUUCUCCAACGUCAAAGUUGAGAGGCUGAGCUGAUAGUCUGAAGUCAGAUUCCAGGUACAGGGUCUUUCUGUAGUGCCCUGUCAGUGUAGGUGAAAAACUGCACCUCGUCUCGGAUUAGUGCUACUAAGAAAAUUAUUUCUAGAAAAAUUUAUAUAUAUAUAUGUAUAUAUAUAUAUAUGGACUGGAGCGAUAGCACAGCGGGUAGGGAGUUUGCCUUGCACGCAGCCAACCGGGUUUCGAUUCCUCCAUCCCUCUCAGAGAGUCUGGCAAGCUAUGGAGAGUAUCCCGCCCGCACAGCAGAGCCUGGCAAGCUACCCGUGGCGUAUUUGAUGUGCCCAAAACAGUAACAACAAGUCUCACGAUGGAGAGUUACUGGUGUCCAUUCCAGCAAAUUGAUGAGCAACGGGAUGACAGUGACAGUGAUUUAUAUAUAUACAUGUAUAUGUAUAUUUGGUCACACCCGGUGGUGUUCUGGGCUUGCUCCUACUUCUUGGAGCCAGGCGUUGAAAUCCGGUUGGCCACAUGCAAGUAAAUACCUUAAUUGUAAAUACCUUAAUUCUAAGUAAAUACCUUAGUUGUAAUAUUUAUUUAAUAUUAAGUGAUACAAGAGUGAAAUAUUAUUGACACAUAAGUCAAAAAUUAUACUUGACAUUAAUAAACAUUUGCCAAACAAAUGUGUAAACCGCUGGUUAAAUCUGCAUAGAAAUUCCUGGGAUGCUUUGAAAAAGAGAAGUCACCAAGAGAACAUUCAGUAUUAAAGUAGCUUAAGUGUAGAAGCACAGGGAAAGAAGAAUAACAUCUCUCCUCCUGGGUUCCUGUUAAAACAGCAACCGGGGAAUCACCACAUAUAGUGGACCAGAAAAAAAAGUAACUGCCGGAUUGAAAUCUACCUCCACAGCGACAUCCUUCCCGGAGGAGCACAAUGUGGCCAGAUCCUGUUCCAGAUAACACUUAAGGGAUUAUCAAAAUUCUGGAUACACUGGAAUUUCCUUCUAUUGACUAUUCUGCAGCUAAGUAAACUAACAGCUGAAGUUUUGGAAUCCGUAUGCCAGCAAGCAAUAAAACUAUAG